This is a long non-coding RNA of Eriocheir sinensis (Chinese mitten crab), 4618 nucleotides long. RefSeq lists it as uncharacterized. Lineage: Eukaryota; Metazoa; Arthropoda; Malacostraca; Decapoda; Varunidae. The record is from RefSeq and is a predicted model, not a curated record. The transcript is spliced from 3 exons.
AAAAAAAAAAAAAAAAUCCCCGGCUAUCAAUUAUUACCUGAGGCUCAUUAAUUACCUCGAUAUCACUCUUAAUGGCCUCACCUGAUUGAAAAAAAAGGUAAUUACAGUUUUAACUAUUACGAGGCCACCAUUAUUAUUAUUAUUACCAUCACUGUCAUCAUCAUCAUCAUCAUCAUCAUCACUAUCAUUACAGGCGUGAAAUAAUUAUGAAUAUGAAUUAAUUGUUUCGUAAUUGAAGCCCGGAUGAAGUUUUUUCUAAUGGGGUGAAUGGGGAGGAAAAAAGGGAGGUGUAAAUGGAUGGGGAGGAAUAGAGGAAUAGGGGGGAAGAAUAAGGGGGUGAAAUAGAGGAGUGGGGAGGGAUAAAAUAAUGGGAUGGAAGACGUUAAUGGGAGAGGAAGACGUGAAUGGGGAGGAAUAAAUGAAUGGGGAAGAAAUACAGGAAUGGGUGAGGAAUAAAUAUAUGGGGAGGAAUAAAUGAAUGGGGAAGGGGGAAAGGAAUGGAGAGGAAAAAUGAAUGAGGAUGGGUAAAGGAAUGGAGAGGAAGAAAUGAAUGGGGAUGGAUUAAGGAAUGGGGGAGGAAAAAAUGAAUGGGGAAGGGGGAAAGAAAUGGGAAGGAAAAAAAAGAAUAAGGAGGAAUGAAGGAACUAAUUAGAGCAAGGUAGGCAAGGUAGGUGAAGGGAUGUGAGGGAGGAAAAGAAAGCAAAUACAUAAAGGUAAAACUGAUUAGGGAAGGGCAAGGUAAGGGAGGCGAGGGCGGUGAAGGUAAGGGAGGAAUGGGUGAAUGGUCCUUGCCUUAAUGAAUGGGCCGAGUGUGUGGGGGAAUAAAUGGGUGGGUAAUUCCAUCUCUCUAAUGACCGGGUUUAUGGUAAUGGGAGAAGUCAGUUGGGGUCUUGCCCGUAUGCUAAUGGGGGGAAUAUGGUGUAUGUAGGGUAACCAGCGGCGUGGGGGGGAAGGGGGAUUAAGGGAGGGGGUAGUGUUAGGUAGGUAAGCGAAAGGGAGGGUCAUAUAAGGGAGGAUAGGUAAUGGGGUAAUGGUAGGGGAUGUAAAAAGGUAAGAAAAUAGGUAAAAAUUGGUUAAGUGGGGGGUGGUUGUGUUAGGUAGGGAAGCGAAGGGGAGGGGUAGGUAAGAUAAAGGGAGAUAGGUAAACGGGUAAUGGUAGGGAAGGUAAAUAAAGGGGUGUAUGGUAUAGCUAAGGGGUGUGAAUGGUAGGAAAAGACGAAGGGGUGAAUGGUAUUGUACUUUAUCUCCCUUAGCAAUGGUAGGUAGUGAAGGUAGAAGUAUAGAUGGAAUAGUAGGAAUAAUGGGAAGGGGCGAGAGAGAUGGUGAGAAAUCAGUGUUAGGGAAUGGUAGGGAUAAUAAGUAAUGGUAGAGGUAAUAUUAGGGAAGGAAUGGUUGGAAGAGCUAAAUGGGUAAGGAUGUAAUGGUUGCGGAGAAGGGAAAUAAGAGGAAAGGUAAAAAAAUAGGCUAGGAAAGGUAGCGAAAGGUACUAAAGGAUGUUAAUUAAAGGUAAAAGGUAGGCAAGAUAAGGUAAGUUAGGGAAGGUAAGGUACAGGCAGUGAGGGUGGCGGAAGAGAAGGGAGGAAAAAGGCAGAUAAUUUAAAGGUGUAGCUAGGUAAGCAAAGGUAGGUUAGGAAAGGUAAGGGAAGGAGAGCGAGGGUGGCGGAAGGUAAGUGAGGAAAAUAGGUUGAGAGUUUAAAGGUAAAAUUAGAUAAGGUAAGGGUGUCGGAAGGCAAGGAAGGAAAGGUAGGGAUGGAUUAUAUAGGUAGAACUGAUUAGGGGAAGGAGGAUAGGUAUGAUAAGGUAAGAGAAGGGAAGCGAGGGUGGAGAAGGUAAGGAAGGGAAAGGUAGAGAAUAUAAGGGUAAAACUCAUUAAGGGAAGGGAAGGAGAGCGAGGGAGGUGACGGGAAGGAAAAGAAAACGAAGAGGACAUAUAGGUAAGAGAAGGUAAACGAGGGUGGAGAAGGUAAGGAAGGGAAAGGAAGAGAAUAUAAGGGUAAAACUCAUUAAGGGAAGGGAAGGAGAGCGAGGGAGGUGACAGGAAGGAAAAGAAAACGAAGAGGACAUAUAGGUAAGAGAAGGUAAACGAGGGUGGAGAAGGUAAGGAAGGGAAAGGAAGAGAAUAUAAGGGUAAAACUCAUUAAGGGAAGGUAAGUUAAGGAGAGCGAGGGAGGUGACUAAGGGAAAAAUGGAAGAGAACAUAAUUAUAGGUAAGAGUGAUUAAUGAAAUGUAAGGAAAGGGAAGUGAUGAAGGUGAAAGGCAAGAAAAAGAAGAACAGGAAAAGGUGAGGAAAUUAAUCUGUUUCUUAAGGUAAAUGAAAGGAAUAGUUUGUGUGUGUUUUACAGGUAAAGGUGAAAGACAAGAAAAGAAAGACAGGAAAAGGUAAAGGAAAUUGAUCUGUUCCUUAAGGUAAAUGAAAGGAAUAGUUUGUGUGUUUUACAGGUAUAGGUUAGAGUAGUAGUUUGUUUCUAGAUUAGUAUAAGCGAAAAAUCUUUAAAGUCUAAUAAUAAAAGGGGAAUAAUUGAUAGGUGGUAAUGGCGAGGUGGGUGAAGGUAAAUGCUAGUGAUAGACAAUGGAGGUAAUGGUGAUGGGCGGGUGGGUAGGUAGGGAGGGUGAACAGGUCAAGGGUAACGCUGCCCAUCUUACCCGAAGAGAAAAAAAAAAGCAGAAGGAAGGAAAGUUAGCGAAAUAAAUGCAUGAAUGACAGUAAGGAGGAAAAGAAAAUUAAAAAAAUGAAAGAAAAUAUGAAGGAAAGAGACCGCAAUGAGACAAGAAAGUAAGAUAGUAAAGAGGAAAAUAAAAUAAAUCAUGCGGUGUGUCUUGGAUGGCUGUAUCAGUAGUCGCCCAUAAUAAUGACACUGGUAAUAAUGAUAAUAAUCGCGAUGAUAGAAUAAUGAAAAUGAUGAUAAAAAUGUUGCUUCUGACACUAGUACUACUUAUAAUAAUAAUGAUAAGAAAAAUAAUAGUAGCUGUGAUAAUGAUAGCUACAACAACAACAAUAGGAGCAGCGAGUAGCGGGCUUUUUAUUUAUUAUUGUUUCCUUUUUUUGUGCCCUUGAACUGUCUCCUUUGUUGUAAAAAAAAAUAAUAAUGAUGUAAAAGGAACGUGUGAAGUCAUGCGAAGAACCAAAACAAUAAUAGCAACUGUGAUAACAACAACAACAACAACAACAACAGCAGCAAUACCAGUACUAAAGGCAAUGAUAGUAAUGACCAAAAUAGCCCCGUGGUGUGAUUAGCGCCGAAAAGGUCACCUGCAUAACUUAGCCGCGGAGACACACCUGGCGGCGGGCGGGGCGGCGGGCGGUGGUAGGAGAGUAAGCAGCCACCGAUCACCUCCACAUAGACGGAGAGAAGACGACCACCGCGUUAACAUUUACUCAUCUCUGUGGCCUUGGAAAACAAUCGUAAUGGCGCCCGAUACGUUGAGAAAUACUGACCUAAGAAGCAACCUGAAUAUAUGAGAGAAAGAACUUGAAUAUAAAAGAGAGAAAGAGUAACGUUGGUAAAGAUAAAAGACAUGAUAAAUAGUACACGUGAUAAUAUGAUCAGAAUACGAAAAAAAUAAAGAUAAUAAACAGUGAUGAGAAGCGUGGAUGAUAAAGUGAGGAUAAUCGGAUAAAGUAAUAAUAAAGAGGAGUAAUAAUGAUGAUAAACGGAUAAUAAAGUGAUGAUAAACGAGUAAUAAAGUAAUGUUAAUGAGGAAUAAUAAAGUGAGGAUAAAUGGAUGAUAAAGUAAUAAAAAAAUAAAAGCCAUGAGAAAUGUGGACAGUAAAGUGAAGAUCAACGGAUAAUAAAGUAACUCUAAAGAUAAAUAAUAAAGUAAGGAUAAACGAGAAUAAUGAAGUGAUGAUAAACUUGUAAUAAAUUAAUAAUAAAGAGGAAUGACAAAGUGAUGAUAAGUGGAUAAUUAAGUAAUGAAAAAGAGGAAGGAUAAAGUGAUGACUAACGUAUCAUAAAGUAAUAAUAAAGAAUAAUAAAACGAGGAUAAGCAAGAAUAAUUAACUCACCAACAGAAACAUUGCCGCAAAGAAAGAAAAAAAAAAGAUAAACGGUAUUUCGGAAAGGAGCGAGGGAAAAUUCGGAGGUGAAAGUCGGGUCACUCUAAAACGAUCACUCUUGCAGCGCGGGUGUGAGCGAAGGCGGAACCCCCCCAAAAAAGAAGAGAAGAAAAAAAACUGCUAGGCCUAUUUUUUAUGGUCGUGGGAUAAAGUCAGAGGCUCCGUAAAUGCAAACAAAUGUAUCUGACCCACUUAGAAAAAAAAAUACGCCUCUGGAACGAUAUUUUUAUUUCUUUUUCGGCUUUGUCUUGAUCCGCCUCUUGCCCGUAAAUAGUGAUAGCCUAAGAACUUACCAUUGAUAAAGAAAGCAAUGGUAUCUCUAAAAACAUGACCGAUUUGAAAACAGGGCGCCUUUUAAACCUUAUUUCCUACGUUUUUUUUUUUUUGAUAGCCUAAGAACUUACCAUUAAUAAAGAAAGCAAUGGUAUCUCUAAAAACAUGACCCAUUUGAAAACAGGGCGCCUCUUAAACCUUAUUUCCUACUGUUUUUUUUUUUUGAUAGCCUAAAAACUUACUAUCGAUAAAGAAAGCAAUGAUAUCUCUAAAAACAUGACCCAUUU